This 230-nucleotide ribosomal RNA is filed under the name Rikenellaceae bacterium. RNAcentral's name for it is "partial 16S ribosomal RNA". It matches the Rfam family "Bacterial small subunit ribosomal RNA", at positions 1 to 218 of the family's 1533-position model. The record is from RNAcentral. Lineage: Bacteria; Pseudomonadati; Bacteroidota; Bacteroidia; Bacteroidales; Rikenellaceae.
UUUUUACAAUGGAGAGUUUGAUCCUGGCUCAGGAUGAACGCUAGCGGCAGGCCUAACACAUGCAAGUCGAGGGGCAGCACGAUUGAAGCUUGCUUCAAUUGGUGGCGACCGGCGCACGGGUGCGUAACGCGUAUGUAACCUACCUUAUACAGGGGCAUAACACUGAGAAAUUGGUACUAAUUCCCCAUAACACUUUGAGAGGCAUCUUUUGAAGUUAAAAGUUCCGGCGG